RNAcentral lists this ribosomal RNA (451 nucleotides) under uncultured bacterium. RNAcentral's name for it is "bacterial SSU rRNA". It matches the Rfam family "Bacterial small subunit ribosomal RNA", at positions 8 to 507 of the family's 1533-position model. The record is from RNAcentral.
AGAGUUUGAUCAUGGCUCAGAACGAACGCUGGCGGCAGGCCUAACACAUGCAAGUCGAGCGCCCAGCAAUGGGAGCGGCAGACGGGUGAGUAACACGUGGGAACCUUCCCUAUAGUACGGAAUAGCCCAGGGAAACUUGGAGUAAUACCGCAUACGCCCGAGAGGGGAAAGAUUUAUCGCUAUAGGAUGGGCCCGCGUAGGAUUAGCUAGUUGGUGAGGUAAUGGCUCACCAAGGCGACGAUCUAUAGCUGGUCUGAGAGGAUGAUCAGCCACACUGGGACUGAGACACGGCCCAGACUCCUACGGGAGGCAGCAGUGAGGAAUAUUGGACAAUGGGCGCAAGCCUGAUCCAGCCAUGCCGCGUGAGUGAAGAAGGCCUUCGGGUUGUAAAGCUCUUUCAGAUGUGAAGAUAAUGACGGUAGCAUCAGAAGAAGCCCCGGCUAAAUUCGUG